Molecule: ribosomal RNA, 297 nt
Filed under: uncultured Pseudomonadota bacterium
Lineage: Bacteria; Pseudomonadati; Pseudomonadota
Description: uncultured proteobacterium partial 16S ribosomal RNA
Rfam family: Bacterial small subunit ribosomal RNA
Source: RNAcentral
AGCGAACGCUGGCGGCAGGCUUAACACAUGCAAGUCUAACGGACGCAGCAAUGCGUCAGUGGCAGACGGGUGAGUAACACGUGGGAACGUGCCCUUCGGUUCGGAACAACCCAGGGAAACUUGGGCUAAUACCGGAUACGUCCGCAAGGAGAAAGAUUUAUCGCCGAAGGAUCGGCCCGCGUCUGAUUAGCUUGUUGGUGAGGUAACGGCUCACCAAGGCGACGAUCAGUAGCUGGUCUGAGAGGAUGAUCAGCCACACUGGGACUGAGACACGGCCCAGACUCCUACGGGAGGCUG